UUGAACGCUGGCGGCAGGCCUAACACAUGCAAGUCGAGCGGAUGAAGGGAGCUUGCUCCUGGAUUCAGCGGCGGACGGGUGAGUAAUGCCUAGGAAUCUGCCUGGUAGUGGGGGAUAACGUCCGGAAACGGGCGCUAAUACCGCAUACGGCCUGAGGGAGAAAGUGGGGGAUCUUCGGACCUCACGCUAUCAGAUGAGCCUAGGUCGGAUUAGCUAGUUGGUGGGGUAAAGGCCUGCCAAGGCGACGAUCCGUAACUGGUCUGAGAGGAUGAUCAGUCACACUGGAACUGAGACACGGUCCAGACUCCUACGGGAGGCAGCAGUGGGGAAUAUUGGACAAUGGGCGAAAGCCUGAUCCAGCCAUGCCGCGUGUGUGAAGAAGGUCUUCGGAUUGUAAAGCACUUUAAGUUGGGAGGAAGGGCAGUAAGUUAAUACCUUGCUGUUUCGACGUUACCAACAGAAUAAGCACCGGCUAACUUCGUG
This 483-nucleotide ribosomal RNA is filed under the name uncultured bacterium. RNAcentral describes it as "partial 16S ribosomal RNA". It matches the Rfam family "Bacterial small subunit ribosomal RNA", at positions 30 to 507 of the family's 1533-position model. The record is from RNAcentral.